RNAcentral lists this ribosomal RNA (449 nucleotides) under uncultured organism. RNAcentral describes it as "partial 16S ribosomal RNA". It matches the Rfam family "Bacterial small subunit ribosomal RNA", at positions 331 to 797 of the family's 1533-position model. The record is from RNAcentral.
GUACACUCCUGCGGGAGGCAGCAGUGGGGAAUAUUGGACAAUGGGCGCAAGCCUGAUCCAGCCAUGCCGCGUGAGUGAUGAAGGCCCUAGGGUUGUAAAGCUCUUUCACCGGUGAAGAUAAUGACGGUAACCGGAGAAGAAGCCCCGGCUAACUUCGUGCCAGCAGCCGCGGUAAUACGAAGGGGGCUAGCGUUGUUCGGAUUUACUGGGCGUAAAGCGCACGUAGGCGGACUAUUAAGUCAGGGGUGAAAUCCCGGGGCUCAACCCCGGAACUGCCUUUGAUACUGGUAGUCUUGAGUUCGAGAGAGGUGAGUGGAAUGCCGAGUGUAGAGGUGAAAUUCGUAGAUAUUCGGAGGAACACCAGUGGCGAAGGCGGCUCACUGGCUCGAUACUGACGCUGAGGUGCGAAAGCGUGGGGAGCAAACAGGAUUAGAAACCCUUGUAGUCCC